AACGAACGCUGGCGGCAUGCCUAACACAUGCAAGUCGAACGAGACCUUCGGGUCUAGUGGCGCACGGGUGCGUAACGCGUGGGAACCUGCCCUUAGGUUCGGAAUAACUCCCCGAAAGGGGUGCUAAUACCGGAUAAUUUCUUCGGACCAAAGAUUUAUCGCCUUUGGAUGGGCCCGCGUUGGAUUAGCUAGUCGGUAGGGUAAAAGCCUACCAAGGCGACGAUCCAUAGCUGGUCUGAGAGGAUGAUCAGCCACACUGGGACUGAGACACGGCCCAGACUCCUACGGGAGGCAGCAGUGGGGGAUAUUGGACAAUGGGCGAAAGCCUGAUCCAGCAAUGCCGCGUAAGUGAUGAAGGCCUUAGGGUUGUAAAGCUCUUUUACCCGGGAUGAUAAUGACGGUACCGGGAGAAUAAGCUCCGGCUAACUCCGUG
RNAcentral lists this ribosomal RNA (433 nucleotides) under uncultured bacterium. Its description in RNAcentral is "partial 16S ribosomal RNA". It matches the Rfam family "Bacterial small subunit ribosomal RNA", at positions 29 to 507 of the family's 1533-position model. The record is from RNAcentral.